UACGGAGGGUGCAAGCGUUAUCCGGAUUCACUGGGUUUAAAGGGAGCGCAGGCGGAUUUGUAAGUCAGUGGUGAAAUCCUUGAGCUUAACUCGAGAACUGCCAUUGAUACUAUAAGUCUUGAAUAUUGUUGAGGUUUGCGGAAUGGGUCAUGUAGCGGUGAAAUGCAUAGAUAUGACCCGGAACACCUAUUGCGAAGGCAGCAGGCUAAACAAAGAUUGACGCUGAGGCUCGAAAGCGUGGGGAUCAAACAGG
RNAcentral lists this ribosomal RNA (253 nucleotides) under uncultured bacterium. RNAcentral describes it as "partial 16S ribosomal RNA". It matches the Rfam family "Bacterial small subunit ribosomal RNA", at positions 524 to 776 of the family's 1533-position model. The record is from RNAcentral.